This 468-nucleotide ribosomal RNA is filed under the name uncultured bacterium. Its description in RNAcentral is "partial 16S ribosomal RNA". It matches the Rfam family "Bacterial small subunit ribosomal RNA", at positions 28 to 507 of the family's 1533-position model. The record is from RNAcentral.
GACGAACGCUGGCGGCGUGCUUAACACAUGCAAGUCGAACGGAAAGGCCCUGCUUUUGUGGGGUGCUCGAGUGGCGAACGGGUGAGUAACACGUGAGUAACCUGCCCUUGACUUUGGGAUAACUUCAGGAAACUGGGGCUAAUACCGGAUAGGAGCUCCUGCUGCAUGGUGGGGGUUGGAAAGUUUCGGCGGUUGGGGAUGGACUCGCGGCUUAUCGGCUUGUUGGUGGGGUAGUGGCUUACCAAGGCUUUGACGGGUAGCCGGCCUGAGAGGGUGACCGGCCACAUUGGGACUGAGAUACGGCCCAGACUCCUACGGGAGGCAGCAGUGGGGAAUAUGGCACAAUGGGCGGAAGCCGGAUGCAGCAACGCCGCGUGCGGGAUGACGGCCUUCGGGUUGUAAACCGCUGUCGCCUGUGACGAAGCGUGAGUGACGGUAAUGGGUAAAGAAGCACCGGCUAACUACGUG